GACGACUACUUCGCCGUCACUUGCAAACGGAAUGUAAACAAGUGCCAACAGCUGACGACACCUCUAUACAGACCUAUACUAGUUAAGUUCCAAAUGGCAUGCCCCUCUCAAAGGCUCUCUUCAUCUCUUAUAACGUGCCCUCCUCAAAAGAUUGCCCUCUACUCGCUGAUCAAAUACAUGCAAGAAGGUGAUCAAUAAGCUAUCUCCCCUACCACUAAAUUUUAAUUGGAUAAAAUGGGAUUUUCAAAUAAUUGCAUAAAUGAAAAUCCAAUCCAAUCCACUGGAAAACAAUGUCAAUAUUUUUAUGUUCCCCUUUUUUUAUAAUGCAUUUUGUGGGUCCUUCGAUGCGGAUUCGGAAUGUGAUAGUGCAUGUAUCGUGUAUAUAUCGUUGGUUGUCGCAGUAGUUAUUUUAGCCCCGUCCAUUAAAUGUCUUUCUGAGGAUCACAGCGGGAUUGACAAUCGGUGAUUCUUCAUACCAGAGGUCAGAAAACAGAUCGGUAAAUCUUCAUACCAGAAACAGGGAAAUAUCCAACAGAUAUUUGCACUAAAUUACCCCGGACUCACUUGAAAGUUUUGGGAAAAAAUAUAGGAUUUUUUACGCCUGCAAGAACAUUUCAAAUGUAUUUUCGAACAUGCAAAACCUGAGCUAUCCGAAGAAGUAUCUGAGCGCGAAAAGUCACGUUCGUCCUGACUUAUCGGAUAGAAUGUCGUGCGUUUGGAUGCUCUCAGCCUAAUCUUAGGGUUUCUUGAAAGAUUUCUUUGGAAAAACACCCAAACUGUGCCUUCAAGCAGAAUGAUUCCGUUUCUUGCCAAAAAUUGAAAACUCCAGCAUUUCAGCAAAAUGUAUUUAGUACAUUUUCCAAUAGUUAUUUCAAAAUCAUUAUCUGAGAAAUUUCAGAAUUCUGGUUGGACCUACCCACAGGGUCCUCUUCGCCUAGUGGUCCUGUUCCUGUCGAUGACGCGACAGAGUUUCUGUUUUAAAUCUUUCGAAAUAAAAGUUGUCGUAUAAUCCGUCAAUGUCUCAAUAUGAAAGUUUAUUAAAUUUAUGUCUUUCCCGAAAGAAUACAUGUAAUUAAU
RNAcentral lists this long non-coding RNA (1077 nucleotides) under Bemisia tabaci. Its description in RNAcentral is "lncRNA ENSSSA1NGG008177". The record is from RNAcentral. Lineage: Eukaryota; Metazoa; Arthropoda; Insecta; Hemiptera; Aleyrodidae.